Molecule: transfer RNA, 76 nt
Filed under: Pseudonocardia autotrophica
Lineage: Bacteria; Bacillati; Actinomycetota; Actinomycetes; Pseudonocardiales; Pseudonocardiaceae
Also listed under: 3 other names
Description: tRNA-Met
Rfam family: tRNA
About the family: Transfer RNA (tRNA) molecules are approximately 80 nucleotides in length. Their secondary structure includes four short double-helical elements and three loops (D, anti-codon, and T loops). Further hydrogen bonds mediate the characteristic L-shaped molecular structure. tRNAs have two regions of fundamental functional importance: the anti-codon, which is responsible for specific mRNA codon recognition, and the 3' end, to which the tRNAs corresponding amino acid is attached (by aminoacyl-tRNA synthetases). tRNAs cope with the degeneracy of the genetic code in two manners: having more than one tRNA (with a specific anti-codon) for a particular amino acid; and 'wobble' base-pairing, i.e. permitting non-standard base-pairing at the 3rd anti-codon position.
Source: RNAcentral
GCGGCGGUAGCUCAAUUGGUCAGAGCAGCGGACUCAUAACCCGUCAGGUUGCCGGUUCGAGCCCGGCCCGCCGCAC